AGAGUUUGAUCAUGGCUCAGGAUAAACGCUGGCGGCGUGCCUAACACAUGCAAGUCGAACGCUCUAGAUCACCUAGAGAGUGGCGGACGGGUGAGGAACACGUGGGUCAUCUCCCUUUCGGUGAGGAAUACCGGCGAGAAAUCGCCGACAAUACCGCAUACGUUUGGAAACAAAGAAAGCUUCUUCGGAAGUGCCGGAAG
This 200-nucleotide ribosomal RNA is filed under the name uncultured bacterium. Its description in RNAcentral is "partial 16S ribosomal RNA". It matches the Rfam family "Bacterial small subunit ribosomal RNA", at positions 8 to 224 of the family's 1533-position model. The record is from RNAcentral.